RNAcentral lists this ribosomal RNA (741 nucleotides) under uncultured Acidobacteriota bacterium. RNAcentral's name for it is "bacterial SSU rRNA". It matches the Rfam family "Bacterial small subunit ribosomal RNA", at positions 10 to 730 of the family's 1533-position model. Lineage: Bacteria; Pseudomonadati; Acidobacteriota. The record is from RNAcentral.
AGUUUGAUCCUGGCUCAGAAUCAACGCUGGCGGCGUGCCUAAUACAUGCAAGUCGUACGCGAAGACCCCGCAAGGGGUUGUUAGCGUGGCAAACGGGUGAGUAACGCGUGGGCGACCUGCCUUCGAGUGGGGGAUAACCUUCCGAAAGGAGGGCUAAUACCGCAUGACAUACUGCGCUUGGAUGCGCGGAUAUCAAAGCCGGGGAUCGCAAGACCUGGCGCUUGAAGAGGGGCCUACGUCCGAUUAGCUAGUUGGUGGGGUAAUGGCUCACCAAGGCGACGAUCGGUAUCCGGCCUGAGAGGGCGGACGGACACACUGGAACUGAGACACGGUCCAGACUCCUACGGGAGGCAGCAGUAGGGAAUUGUUCGCAAUGGGCGCAAGCCUGACGACGCAACGCCGCGUGGAGGAUGAAGGGCUUCGGCUCGUAAACUCCUUUCGACCGAGAUGAAUACCCGCAGAGCUAAUAUCUUUGUGGACUGACAGUAUCGAGGGAAGAAGCCCCGGCUAACUCCGUGCCAGCAGCCGCGGUAAUACGGGGGGGGCAAGCGUUGUUCGGAAUUACUGGGCGUAAAGGGUUCGUAGGUGGUCAACUAAGUCAUACGUGAAAUCCCUCAGCUUAACUGGGGAACUGCGUCUGAUACUGGUUGACUUGAGUGCAGGAGAGGAACGCGGAAUUCCAGGUGUAGCGGUGAAAUGCGUAGAUAUCUGGAGGAACACCGGUGGCGAAGGCGGCGUUCU